CAAAUAGUACUCCUGAUGUUAUCGCAACCUGUUGAUAACAAAAUGGUUAAACGUUUGCGCUAGCCGCGCGAUUUUCUGCACCUGGUGUCAGGUGUCAGGCGCUGUCUCACAGGGUCGGGAAGGGAUGAUUUCGUCCGAAAAAGUGACAUGCAUUGCUGGCUAAAUGCCGUUUUGCUGAUGUUGCGCAACGGAAUGGCGGAUUCUAGCAAGGCUGCGCCGAGAAGACGAGAUUUUUACGGUUAACUGUGGGAAAAUUAUCAGGCUUAAUUUUAAUAAGGUUAUUAAGGGGCAGCCAUGAGUACCGAUCUGAAAUUUUCACUGCUGACCACGGUUGGCGCACUGGCGAUGAUCAUUGCUUUCAGCUUUACCGCCGUCAUGCACUGAGCC
This 387-nucleotide small RNA is filed under the name Erwinia sp. Leaf53. RNAcentral's name for it is "Enterobacterial sRNA STnc550". It matches the Rfam family "Enterobacterial sRNA STnc550". The record is from Rfam by way of RNAcentral. Lineage: Bacteria; Pseudomonadati; Pseudomonadota; Gammaproteobacteria; Enterobacterales; Erwiniaceae.